AAUAAAAGAUGACUCCCAGCAUAGCGCAGUCAAAAAGCUAGUAUAUCGUUACGCCACCUCAGUCGAAACGUCAAAGCCUAAAAAAGGUGAAAACAACCCCUAAACUAGCUGCGACAGGUGAGGGAGGAGGAGAGAAGAGGCAGGUUGCAACUGCCAAACAGAAAGCUCUUCUUUUUCUCUAUGAUCUGUUCUCUCUCUUCAACCUAUCUUCGAGACUUGCUUCUGCUACUUUCGUGGAAAGCUAGCAGCUGUGGGCAUAUUGAGGGGGCAUUCCCUUUCUGCACAAAACUUAAUAGUGGAUGACGCGUACUGUGCUUUGUACUGAAAUUUGUUGGACGCCGGGUACUGCCAUUUUGUGCUGAACUUAAUUCAAACUAUCAAACCACCAGCUUGUUAUUUUGUUGCUUCAUUCUUUCUGUUCGUAAAUCUUGCUUUUGCACUUGUCUACUAUUCGCUUCAUUUUUCAGGUUUUGUGAUUAAUGGUUCUCGAGGCAGUUGUUUGCCAUCUUUUAGGCUGUGAAAGAUGGCACGCUAACUACAUCAAACACUGCCAAUUGCUUAUAAAAUUAGUUUCAGAUAA
Molecule: long non-coding RNA, 580 nt
Organism: Populus euphratica (Euphrates poplar)
Lineage: Eukaryota; Viridiplantae; Streptophyta; Magnoliopsida; Malpighiales; Salicaceae
Exons: 2
Source: RefSeq, a predicted model, not a curated record